GACGAACGCUGGCGGCGUGCUUAACACAUGCAAGUCGAACGGAAAGGCCCUGCUUUUGUGGGGUGCUCGAGUGGCGAACGGGUGAGUAACACGUGAGUAACCUGCCCUUGACUUUGGGAUAACUUCAGGAAACUGGGGCUAAUACCGGAUAGGAGCUCCUGCUGCAUGGUGGGGGUUGGAAAGUUUCGGCGGUUGGGGAUGGACUCGCGGCUUAUCAGCUUGUUGGUGGGGUAGUGGCUUACCAAGGCUUUGACGGGUAGCCGGCCUGAGAGGGUGACCGGCCACAUUGGGACUGAGAUACGGCCCAGACUCCUACGGGAGGCAGCAGUGGGGAGUAUUGCACAGUAGGCGGAAGCCAGAGGCAGCAACGCCGCGUGCGGGAUGACGGCCUUCGGGUUGUGAACCGCUUUCGCCUGUGACGAAGCGUGAGUGACGGUAAUGGGUAAAGAAGCACCGGCUAACUACGUG
Molecule: ribosomal RNA, 468 nt
Filed under: uncultured bacterium
Lineage: Bacteria
Description: partial 16S ribosomal RNA
Rfam family: Bacterial small subunit ribosomal RNA
Source: RNAcentral